CUACGGGUCGCUGCAGACGAGAAUCAUUCGCAAUGGGCGAAAGCCUGACGAUGCGACGUCGCGUGAGUGAAGAAGCCCUUCGGGGUGUAAAAUUCUUUUCUAAGGGAAAAAGCUUUUGCUGACCGUACCUUAGGAAUAAGGGGCGGCUAACCUCGUGCCAGAAGCCUCGGUGAGACGAGGGCCCCAAGCGUUGUCCGAAUUCACUGGGCGUAAAGCGUGUGUAGGCGGUUUUAAUAGUGAUUGGUUAAAUUCCGGGGCUUAACUCCGGAGCAGCCAGUCAAACGUUAAAACUGGAGCAGGUAAGAGGCAAGCGGAACUUACCAAGUAGGGGUGGAAUCCGUUGAUAUGGUAAGGAACACCAAAGGCGAAGGCAGCUUGCUAGUGCCUAGCUGACGCUGAGACACGAAAGCGUGGGUAGCAAAAAGGAUUAGAUACCCGAGUAGUC
Molecule: ribosomal RNA, 445 nt
Filed under: uncultured bacterium
Lineage: Bacteria
Description: partial 16S ribosomal RNA
Rfam family: Bacterial small subunit ribosomal RNA
Source: RNAcentral